CAAGAAAACAAGCUCCUUAAGUGC
Molecule: non-coding RNA, 24 nt
Filed under: Gossypium hirsutum (cotton)
Lineage: Eukaryota; Viridiplantae; Streptophyta; Magnoliopsida; Malvales; Malvaceae
Source: RNAcentral